GCGCGGGGCGGGGGAGGCGCGCGCCGGAGUUCGCGUCAGCCGGCGGCCGCGCGCACACGCGCUCGCGGAGCGGCCUGCCCCUCCCCCCAGCGCCCUCCAGGCCCGCGGCUCCCCCGGGGUGGGUGCUUGCGGGACUGGCGGGGGCGGGGAGUGGGGCCGGGCGCGCGCCGGGGCGCCCCACCCCGCCCCCGACCCCGCCCCACGCGCCGGCGGCGCGGACCUCCUUGUCAAUGGGAACGCGGGGCCCGGCUGCCCGCAGGGCGGUCAGGUGGGUCCCCCAGCUCGCUGCCAGCACGGCCUCUGUCCCUCUCGGGCCGGCUCUCCAUCUUGUCGCCCGCAGCCCGCCUUCUCCGUAGCUCUCCACCCGCUGGGGCCGCAGAGCUGAGGCCAUGUUACCUCAGGAAACGCGAUGUGGUAGUGGGUCGGAAUAAACCCGCGCGCCCCAGAAUUCGCCUUGGAGGCCUAAGGACAGAUUCGGACUUUUCGUUUCCUAUGUCCACAUUUAUUGAGCACCUAGUAUGUGAGACCCGAGGCUGUAAGAAGAGGAACGCAGCGGGCGGAGAAAAGCCAGAGCGUUUUCUCUGUGAGCCGCUGCCUCCAGGGCCAUAGCCGACCCUGCUCCGAGAUCCCAGCCGCCGCUCUCCGUGCAGGAGGGGUGCCCACCCUGGGGAGGCCUGGGUGCCCGGAGUGGAGGGACAGGGCUUCAAGCGACCGGGAGUUUCCAGCAAACCCCUGAUCCCUGAGCAGUUUAUUUUAAAAGCUUUUGCAAAUGUUGGACGGUUUCGUUUGGUGGAGGCCGUCUUUGCACUAAAUUCUCCUGUCCUCCGCCUUCGAAACGCACAAAAUGAAUUUUGAACAGAUUUUAGAUGAGAGGUUUUCUUCCUUUUUUCAUCUUCUGAAACAUUUCCCCCUCAUUUCUUCUCAGAUAAAGACCCAGAAACCCGGGACAGUUACUCGGUGUACAGCUAGUGAAAUACUGAGGAAACCAGCCGAUAUUUGCCAAAGAUUGGGCAUGUUCUGGGUGGUCUCAGAUUUUGAAGAAACGACUUUUUUACUGCACAAAAUAGUUUUACAAUCAGUUCCAUCAGACAGCCCCAGGGGCUCUCCUAGGGAAAGGGGCCAAUAGGCAAGGUUGCAUGGGGAUAAGAGAGGCAAGCGGCCAGUGGAAAACGUUUUUCUUUCUUUUUCUUUUUUUCCUAACAGUUGGGCAUUUCUGUAGCUCUGAAAGCAAACUUGUUUGUUUCAUUUCAACGAUAGAAAAAAAACACUCCUGUUUUGGAAAUGUAACCCAGCAUAAAAAUACAUUUGCAAUGGGGAAAAAGAAAGCAGUUUAGGGCCACCCAGAAGAAAAUAUUUUUUCCCUGAUUUUUUUUUUUAAAUUUGGUAUUUCCCAGUGUGGGUUUGCCUCAUUUUACAAAUAGCUGCCCAUGUCAAGAUGUGGGUAUGUGAUUUAAAUAUUUUAAUUUGAAUCACAUUUUACAUAGUCUAGGAAACUGACAAAAGAAUCCUAUAGAGAAUUGUUUUAUAAAGUGAAUAACUGCUUCUCUACCUACCCGCCCCCCUCAUUCUUCUUUUCUGUGCGUGUUUUUGGGGGGCUGUUAUGGGAUAAAUCUUGUUUGGCUUAAAAAUCACUAAAACGCAGCCUUUCAAAUCCAAAACAGAGAGCUUAGGUACCCAACAUUCUAUAGAAUGUAUUAUUUCCUCAAGAGGUUGCUAGGAACAGUUAUGUAGAUCUACCAGGUGCAGAGAAGCACUCCACACCCUCACCCAGGUCCUGUAUCCCUGCAAGACUGCGUUGGAAAGUCUGAAGAGUUUUCCCAUCAUUCCUCUGGAGACAGAAGACCUUGCCAAGUGGUCCAAGCUUUGCUGAAGACCUAAGGACUUUGGGAUUGAUAGAGACAAGGUCUUUCUCUGCCACUCAAGCUGGAGUGCAGUGGCAUGAUCAUAGCUCACUGCAACAUCAACCUCCUGGGCUCAAGCCAUCUUCCAACCUCACAGCCACCUGGGUAGCUGGGACUAUGGGUACCCACCCCAUACCCGGAGCUGACAAGCCAUAGCAGGACGGCUGUCCCCGGAGAGAUAGGAGAGGAGGAGAAACAGCCUGACAGGGGCCUGGAGCAGCUGGUUGGCGUCAGUAAUUUCCUGCAGGAGACUCUGCUGGCCGAGCACACAUCACCCUUCUGUUGCUCCUCUGUAUUCUCCCUUGUGCUACUAAAAUACGCUAAUGUAACUCCUGGGCUGUGCUAAGCUAAAUGCAGUUAUUUAACCUCAUUUCUAUGGAACCCAGGUCUAAAGCAGCAACAUCUAUUUGGAACAAGAUGGGAAGGAGCAAGAGUGAAUUCAUGCUCUUCUUCAUGGAGGUGGAUGUUUCUGGAAGGAGGUUUGUGAUGUCCUUUGCAGGGACAUGGAUGGAGUUGGAAGCCCUUAUCCUCAGCAAACUAAUGCAGGAACAGAAAACCAAACACUGCAUGUUCUUACUUAUAAGUGGGAACUGAAUGAUGAGAACACAUGGACACAUAAGGGGAAAUGACACACACUGGGGCCUGUCAGAGCUGAGGGGUUGUGGGGAGAGGGAGAGAAUCAGGAAGAAUGGCUAAUGUAUGCUGUGCUUAAUAUCUAGGUGAUGGGAUGAUCUGUGCAGCAAACCACCAUGGCACACGUUUACCUAUGUAACAAACCUGGACAUCCUGCACAUGUAUCCUAGAACUUAAAAUAAAAGUUGAAGAAAAAAAAAAAAAGAAAAAGUUGUGUGAAGUCUGGAGGUGUAAUGGACAGACACAGGCUUAGGGUGAGGCAGGCCCAUGUUCAGAUCCUUGCUUCCUCACUAAGCUAGCGGGGAGACUGGCUAUAUCACCGAGCCUCAGUUUCCUCACCUGUACAUCUGCUGUAGAAGUGGCACAUCAUAUGCUGUCCUAGCUGUGACCUUCGGUAGCUCAUCACUGCCCUUCUUACUGUUCUCAGGGUAAACCCCUUUCCAGGCAGAGUUGCCAAGACACCCAGUAAAAUUUGAAUUUCAGAUAAAUACUGAAUAAUUGUUUAGUAUAAUGAUGCUCCAAAUAUUGCAUGGGAUAUACUUAACACUAAAAAAAAAUCAUUGUUUAUCUGAAAUUCAGAUUUAACUGGGCAACCUGCAUUUUUAAAUAAACUUUUAAUUUUAGAAUCAUUUUAGAUUUACAGAAAAAAAUAUAAGGAUCGUACAGAGUUACCACACACCCUGCACCCAGUUUCCCCUAUAACUAAUAUCUUACGUCGAGCCAGUGCAGUGGCGCACGUUUGUAAUCCUAGCUGCUCAGGAGGCUGAGGUGGGAGUAUCGUUUGAGCCCAGGAGCUCGAGGCUGCAAUGAGCCAUGAUUGCACCAUUGCACUCCAGCCUGAGUGACAGAGUAAGACGCCAUCUUUUAAAGAAAAAUCUUAUGCCAGUAUGAUACAUUUGUCACAAUUAAUGAACUAAGAUUGAUAUAUUAUCAUUAACUAAAGUCUAUACUUCAUUAGAUUUCUUUAGUUUUUGCCCAGUGUCCUUUUCUAUUCCAGGAUCCUGUCCAGGACACCAUAUCAUAUUUAGUUGUCAAGUCUCCUUAGUUCCUCUUGGCUGUGACAGUUUUUUAGACUUCCCUUGUUUUUGAUGACCUUGACCGUUUUGAGGAGCACUGGUCUGGGGUUUUGUAGAAUGCCCCUCAAUUCAGCCUGUCAGAUAUUUUUCUCAUGAUUAGGCUGGGGUAUUAUUUUUUUGGGAGGAAGACCACCGAGGUCAAGAGCCAUUCUCAUCACAUCUCGUUAAGGGUCUGUACUGUCCAUAUGACUUACCACUGUCGAUGUUGACCUUGAUCACCUGGCUAAGGUAGUGUUCAUCAGGUUUAGCAACUGUAUUUUCAUUUGCUAAAUCUGUAACUCGAUUCCAGGCCUGUCAGUCUUCACGACCAGACCUUUGCUUACUGCUGCUGCCAUUUUUCUGCUCCAACCAUAGUGAACUGCUAACAAUUCCUCUAAUGAACUAUUCUCUGUCUCUCUUACUGCCAGGCCUUAGGGCUUGCUCUUUCCUUUGCCUGGAAUGUUCCACUCCCCCACAGCCUCCCAUCCACACCUCCCCUUCACCCAAUUAACUUACUUUUCAGUUGGGCUUCAGUGUUCCGCUUAGGUCUCACUCCUUCCGGGAAGAUUUCUUGCACCCUCCUCUGCCAAGACCAGGUUAGGUGUUGCUUCUCUGCCCUGGUCCUACUCUGUUGUGAUAUUUACCAUCCUGUGGUUGUGAACUGUUUGCUUGUCUCCCUGACCCCAGUGCAUCCCUGACAUCUUACACAGUGCCUUGUUGCAACUCAAUAAAUAAUUGCUGAAUAAAUGAAUGGUUACACCAGGCACUUCAGGUAAAGCCUUUAACACACUACCUGCCUUGUAAACAGUAGAUGCUCAGUAAAUGCUUGUCUUUUUCAAUGUAGGAAAAAUAAUCUUCCCUAGAUCUGAGCAACUGUACUAAGUUUGUGCUUGCCCGACACCCGCAACACAUGCCCCUACCUGGAGAAGAGAUUCUGGAACAGUGGUCUCCUAGGAUUCCCUGAGAGCCACAGUUACCUGUAUCAAAGUAUCAAGGAGGCCACUUAAUGACAGAGAUAUUAGGGUAAGUAGGCUACUUUCCGUCAGUUUGCAGAUUAAAAAGGCAUCUUUCUCCCAGUGGAGAAACUGAAUUAUGAACCCCUUCGCCCAGAUUUCCAUAGUUGGACGCCCUGACCCAUUGUUUUUUAGUGAAAGGGACAAAGGGACCCACCUCCUUCUCUUUUUGCUGCCCAUGUGCCACACACAUGUAAAUGACAUGUGUACCUAUUGUUGCUUGUCCUUGAUGAUGAGUACACUUGUACAUUGAUAUAUUUGUUAGUGUUUUGCUUUUCACUAAUCCAGCAUAGUUGUGACCCCACCCCUGAGACCUAAAGGAAGGAGACACCUCAUAGGGGGUCUCAGGAAUCUCUGAUGAACCUUAGGACUAAUUAUAAUUCUUUCAUUUAUUAUAACUUCAUGCCAGGUAUUUUAUCUGCCUCACUUCUAAUCCUCUCAAUAACCUUGCAUGUUUUUAUUCAUCCCGUAUUACAAAUGAGAAAGCUAAGGUUUGGGUGCUUAAGAAAUUUUCCCAAAGUUUUUUUUGUGGUGGAGCCAGCUUGGAGCUAGGACAAUAGACUUCAGAGUCUCAGCUCCAUCCUAUCCAUGGUUCAGAAAGUUCUCUAGUUCUGUAAGAGACAGCCAGCAUCCCCCAAGGGCUUGUGCUCAUUGGAAUGGCUCUCGGGUCCACUCCUCCCUUUGUAUCCCCAGGUCACCUCACUAGAGCAGACCUCCAUCAGUCAGUGUUUACCCACCUUCCAGAGCCUCCUUCCUGGACUCUUGCCCCCAGAUUCCCCACCCAUAGCACUCUCACACUGCCAUCGCCCAACUCAGGAUCCCAAGAAUGCCCAUUUUCACCCUUAUAAAUCCUUUGCCUUGCUUCCAAGACCCUAUGGUCUAUUUCUUUUCCAAGCCUUCUCUCCAUGCAUCAGAUUCUUCAUGAAACUUACACUGACUAGUCCCCCACCCAUCUCCCUUUCCUUGGAUCUUCAUGGCACCUAGGUAUGCAAGGCAGAAAGUAGUGUAGAAUGCCCUUCUGGCUUGUGUGGAACCACAGGGGAGUCCCCUGGGUUUCUAAUAUGGUUUCCCCGUCUGGAUUGACACCCCCUGAAGGACAAAAACCUCUUGUUAAAAAAGUCAACUUUAUUGAGGUAUAACAUACAUACACCCUGUUUUAAGUGUUCAGUUUGAUAAGGUUUGACAAAUGUAUACACCCAUGUAACCACCGUCACAACCAAGAUAUAGAACAUUUCUAUCACCCCAGAAAUACCUCUGAGCCCCUUUGUAGUCAAUUCCUCCACCCCCGACCCAGGCAGCCACUUGCUGGAUUUCUAUUAAUAUAGAUUAGUUUUGCCUGCCGUUGAACUCCACAAAAAUGCAGUCACAAAGGGUGUAGUCUUUUGUGUCAGCCUAUUUUGGUUAGCACGAUAUUUUAAAGAUUCCUCCAUACUGUUUAUUACUUUCUUCUUGCUGAGUAGUAUUUUAUGGUAGAGACUAUACUACAACUUGAUUGUCCAUGUUGACUAAAUUUGAGGCUGUUUCACAUUUUUGGCUAUUGUGAAUAAAGUAGCUACGAAUGUUUACACACAAGCCUUUUGUGAAUGUGUUUUCAUUUCUUUUAUUU
This is a long non-coding RNA of Gorilla gorilla gorilla (western lowland gorilla), 6208 nucleotides long. RefSeq lists it as uncharacterized. Lineage: Eukaryota; Metazoa; Chordata; Mammalia; Primates; Hominidae. The transcript is spliced from 5 exons. The record is from RefSeq and is a predicted model, not a curated record.